AGUGAACGCUGGCGGUAGGCCUAACACAUGCAAGUCGAACGGCAGCACAGUAAGAGCUUGCUCUUACGGGUGGCGAGUGGCGGACGGGUGAGGAAUACAUCGGAAUCUACUUUUUCGUGGGGGAUAACGUAGGGAAACUUACGCUAAUACCGCAUACGACCUACGGGUGAAAGCAGUGGAUCUUCGGACCUUGCGCGAUUCAAUGAGCCGAUGUCGGAUUAGCUAGUUGGGGGGGUAAGGGCCCACCAAGGCGACGAUACGUAGCGGAUCUGAGAGGAUGAUCAGCCACACUGGAACUGAGACACGGUCCAGACUCCUACGGGAGGCAGCAGUGGGGAAUAUUGGACAAUGGGCGCAAGCCUGAUCCAGCCAUACCGCGUGGGUGAAGAAGGCCUUCGGGUUGUAAAGCCCUUUUGUUGGGAAAGAAAAGCAGCAGGUUAAUACCCCGCUGUUCUGACGGUACCCAAAGAAUAAGCACCGGCUAACUUCGUG
This 492-nucleotide ribosomal RNA is filed under the name uncultured bacterium. RNAcentral describes it as "partial 16S ribosomal RNA". It matches the Rfam family "Bacterial small subunit ribosomal RNA", at positions 29 to 507 of the family's 1533-position model. The record is from RNAcentral.